Lutra lutra (Eurasian river otter) is the source of this 1048-nucleotide long non-coding RNA. RefSeq lists it as uncharacterized. The transcript is spliced from 3 exons. The record is from RefSeq and is a predicted model, not a curated record. Lineage: Eukaryota; Metazoa; Chordata; Mammalia; Carnivora; Mustelidae.
UGAACUUUCUUUUCAGGUUGGUGUGAAUCAUAAUGAAAGAUGUGUUCAGGGCAGCCACUCUGUUCUGAGCAGAAAACAAGCCUAGAAAAGAGUGCUGGGAGGACAAGCGGAAAUGGUGUUUGAACCAGGUCAUUGAAAAGGCACAGGAAAUGUUCUGAACAGAGACCAGAGAGCAGUCUCUUGGCUGGGGGCCAUGAGGAGGGGGUGCGGGACAGGGAGAGAUAGAUGGCAGAAUGGAACACAGGCCAUGACUCAUCAACCCAAGCUCACGUCUUCAUCUGAGACUCUUUAAUCUCUUUCUUCUGACAGAAUGCAGAAAAAUAAUAAAAGAAAACUUUGAUAGAGUCGCUUGCGUGAAAACUCCCACUUGUCUCCAAGAAAAUGCUGUAAUUUAAAGGAAAAAAAGAGUCCAGCUGUGCAAAGUGUAAAGAGAGUCAAUGCAUCUCAAAAUAAACAGGCACUCCACAUGAAUGGACAAAUCACAAAAUAGAAAACAUAAUUAACAAGCAUAUAAAUUAUGAUGACUCUUGAGAGAAACCCAAAAGGGACAACUGGCAUGCUAAGAUGCCAGUUUAUAGAAUUUCCAUUAGACAGCAGUUUUCAAAACGAUAAUACUCAUUACUGAACCGGUUGUAAUAGAAUUGGUAUAUUUUGAGGGAGCAGUAGAAAUUAACUUAACCUUUUUAGAAAGUAACCAGGUCAUAGAAUUAAGAGGUUCUGACUUGCAGGAAAUAAGACAAUAAAUAAUUGAAAGGAGAAAAAGAUAACAUAUUUUGUUUUCCCUGCAUUGAAAUGACUCCCUACCUUUCACAGUUGUGGUAAGGUUUGGAAGAGGAACAAUGGGAUAAAGAAUGCGUUUUAUAUAUAAAGCAAUAUGCACAGGCAAGAAGAAAAAUCAUUUUCAAUUUGAAAGUGGUUUGUAAUGGUGAAAAUCUAAGGUUAACAACUAAGCUUUUGGCAAAAGGGAAACAGUUAAACUAGUGUACCCGCAUCUGCUAGAAAGAAUAUAUAUACACAUCCAUAUAACGAUAUUAAUUAAUUUAAAAUA